AUGAGACAGGUGUGGGAGGCCACUUGUUUGUGGAGAAGACUCAGAUCAGUGCGCCUCGACUUCCUUGUCAGCACAGAACCAAGCUUGAAACAUGCACUUUUAAAUCAAUACCAGAAAAGAACAACGAAAAUAGUGGCUUGCUUUGUUGGCCCUUCCUUUGUACUGGGCUCUGUGCAGGGCAUGUCACCUGAGCUGUCACUGUGUUUAGUACCAGCCCCCCCCUUAAUAGGUGUGGACGUCUUCCUGAACAGCCUGAAGCAGACGGUGGUGACCCUGGCAAGCAGCACAGACGUGCUGAGCACCGUGCAGUCGGCCUCCCAGGCCAUGCUGCAGAGCGGCUGGUCCAUGCUGUUGCCCACCGCCGAGAAGCAGGCCCGGGCACUCUCUGCUCUCCUGCCCUGCGGAGUUUCAGGCAAUGAAGUGAACAUAAGUCGAGGUCGUCGAUUCGUGAUUGAUCUUCUGGUGGGCAGCUUGAUGGCUGCUGGAGGGUUGGAGUCAGCCUUACACGCAGCCUUUACUGCAGAGAUCCAGGAUAUUGAAGCCAAAAAAGAAGCACAGAAGGAAAAAGAAAUUGAUGAACAGGAAGCGAAUGCCUCAACAUUUCAUAGAAGGAGGACUCCAUUGGAUAAAGACCUUAUUAAUACGGGGAUCUGUGAGUCUUCUGGCAAACAGUGUUUGCCUCUGGUUCAGCUCAUACAACAGCUUCUUAGGUAAAUCAUAUUAGCUGUAUUGUAUUGUGUUUUAUUUAUUUACUUUUUUUU
RNAcentral lists this long non-coding RNA (761 nucleotides) under Pan troglodytes (chimpanzee). RNAcentral describes it as "lncRNA (ENSPTRG00000053164.1)". The record is from RNAcentral. Lineage: Eukaryota; Metazoa; Chordata; Mammalia; Primates; Hominidae.